Molecule: transfer RNA, 64 nt
Filed under: Henosepilachna pusillanima
Lineage: Eukaryota; Metazoa; Arthropoda; Insecta; Coleoptera; Coccinellidae
Description: tRNA-Glu
Source: RNAcentral
AUUAAAAUAGUUUAUAAAAAACAUUAUAUUUUCAUUAUAAAAAUAGAGUUUAAUCUUUUUAAUA